RNAcentral lists this ribosomal RNA (468 nucleotides) under uncultured bacterium. RNAcentral's name for it is "partial 16S ribosomal RNA". It matches the Rfam family "Bacterial small subunit ribosomal RNA", at positions 28 to 507 of the family's 1533-position model. The record is from RNAcentral.
GACGAACGCUGGCGGCGUGCUUAACACAUGCAAGUCGAACGGAAAGGCCCUGCUUUUGUGGGGUGCUCGAGUGGCGAACGGGUGAGUAACACGUGAGUAACCUGCCCUUGACUUUUGGAUACCUUCAGGAAACUGUGGCUAAUACCGGAUAGGAGCUCCUGCUGCAUGGUGGGGGUUGGAAAGUUUCGGCGGUUGGGGAUGGACUCGCGGCUUAUCAGCUUGUUGGUGGGGUAGUGGCUUACCAAGGCUUUGACGGGUAGCCGGCCUGAGAGGGUGACCGGCCACAUUGGGACUGAGAUACGGCCCAGACUCCUACGGGAGGCAGCAGUGGGGAAUAUUGCACAAUGGGCGGAAGCCUGAUGCAGCAACGCCGCGUGCGGGAUGAAGGCCUUCGGGUUGUAAACCGCUUUCGCCUGUGACGAAGCGUGAGUGACGGUAAUGGGUAAAGAAGCACCGGCUAACUACGUG